Non-coding RNA from Cyanistes caeruleus (blue tit), 854 nucleotides. The record is from RefSeq and is a predicted model, not a curated record. Lineage: Eukaryota; Metazoa; Chordata; Aves; Passeriformes; Paridae.
CAGGUUGGUGGUUAAGAAGCUUGUGUCUCUCUCCCGGCAGUGCUUGUGGAAUGGGUUUAUCCCAGGAGCCCUGAAGUCGUCCAGCGCUACGCCCUGCCCGUGCUCUGGUCCUUCCUGGGGAACAAGGCGCUGCCCGUGCGAAGCGCCAAUGUCCGCACUGUGGUCACCAAGCUUGCCUCUGCCCUCUACAAGGUGAUGGGCACCAAGCUGAGGAAGUGUGCUGCCAGCCAGCCUCCACAUGUGCGGCAAAACCUCUCCAGCAUCUUGGGCUGGUGAGGGACUGAUGCUCUCCAGGAAGAUGACGAAGAGCUGACUCAAACACCUCCGGACAUGACUUCUUAGCUGUGCCAACAACGACAAAAUACUGAGGAAGGGUUUGCAUCCGCCCCCACUCUCUCCACUGCCCUUCCUAGUCAAGGCAUGGGGGGCCUGAAGCAACUCCGGAUUGAGGACAAGACGAAGGCUGAGCAGGGCUCAGCCUCUCACAGGCUCCUCUCCUACGAAGAAGUUUUCUCUUCAUGCUUCAUGGGUGCCCACAGAGUCCUUGCCUCCCAUCCAGAAGAGCCCUCUUUCUUCAGAGCUCAGGAAGAAGCUUCUGCCUCUCCGAACCUGGUUGACAAAUAGGUUUAAUGGCUUAGGCUUUAGAGUUAGGGAUGUAGGAUAUAGUAAAGGGAUAGUAGUGUAGUAUAGGGAUAUAGUAUAGUAGGGAUGAAGUGUUCUUAUAUUAUAAUGUACAUUUGAGGAUACAUUUUGAUUGUAGUUUUUAAAUAGUGAUGACAUAUUUUAAUUCUUUAUAUAUAUUUUUGUAGAUACAGUGUGUUUUUUUAAUGUUAUACAAGUUAAAUUUUUAAAAA